This is an RNA transcript of Panicum virgatum (switchgrass), 3422 nucleotides long. It is a transcript of the gene named ubiquitin-like modifier-activating enzyme atg7, with no coding region annotated. The record is from RefSeq and is a predicted model, not a curated record. Lineage: Eukaryota; Viridiplantae; Streptophyta; Magnoliopsida; Poales; Poaceae. The transcript is spliced from 20 exons.
CCCAGGGGGGCAAACUAGAAAACGCCAAAAACAAAGUAAAAUCCAAAAUCAUCAAGCAGCAGCAGAACCGGCCGUGCCGCUCGCGGCGCCGGCAGAGGGAAGACGAGACGGCGAUGGCGGGUGCCGGUGCGGCGGGGUUCCCGCGGCUACUGCAGGUUCAGGCCCUCCAGUGCUUAGCGGAUGAGGGGUUCUGGGACGCGCUCCGCCGCCUCAAGCUCGACGUCCUGGGCACCGACGACUCCCCCAUCCCAAUCACCGGUUACUAUACUCCACGCCAGUUUCGCCCGAUGGCGAGCUUCUUCAACCUACGUUCAGGAUCAUUGAACAAUUCGCCUGGUGAUAGGAAUGGUUGUCAAGUUCCAGGGACCCUGAUAAACACUAAUAACACGAGGGGAUUCCAAGACCUAGAUAGGGAACUUCUUCUGAAAGCGGAAGCAAAGAAGAUCUUGCAUGACAUUAUGUCUGGUAAUGUAGAAGAGAAUCCUGCUCUGCUACUUAGGUUCCUUGUGACAUCAUUUGCUGAUCUGAAGAAUUGGAAGGUCUAUUACAAUGUUGCAUUCCCCUCGUUGGUUUUCAACUCUAGAAUGACCCUGCUAAGUCUGCACUGCGCCUCAGAAGUGCUCAGCAAAGAAGAGGCAGCAUGCUUGUACGAAGCAUUGCAAGAGUGGCGUGCUUCUAGUGAAACAACAGCAGUUGUACCAUUCUUUCUGGUUGGUAUAUCCUCGGAUUCCUCUGCCUCUGUAAGACCACUUAAGGACUGGAAAACUUGCCAGGGGAACUAUCAAAAGCUGCUGUUUGGAUUUUAUGAUCAUGGAUGUCUCUCAGAUUGCCCUGGCUGGGCUAUUAGAAAUUAUAUUACAUUCCUGACUAUCCGGUGGAAGAUUGAGAAGGUUCAGUUCUUCUGCUACCGUGAAUAUCGAGGAAACCCUGAUCUAGAACAAUCCCUCAUUGGCGAAGCAUCAUUUCCAUCACCUCGUGGGUGGGAUGAUCCUGAUCAUGUACCUGAUGCUAUUGGUUGGGAAGGAUUAAAGCCAGGAAAGGGAACAAAAGAAAUGAAGCCAAAAGAAAUAGAUCUUCAAUCAAUGAGUCCAGCAAGUCAGGAUGAAGAAAAACAACUGAUGCACUUAAAGCUUAUGGGGUGGCGCCACUUUCCUGUGAAUAUAGACAAGUUAUCUGGGGUUCGAGUUCUUGUCUUGGGUGCUGGAACUCUUGGAUGUGAAGUUGCUCGCCUGCUUAUGACCUGGGGUGUACGGAAAUUAACUGUGGUCGACAGUGGUAAUGUUGCCACGUCUGACCUUGUCAAGCAAUCACUCUACAUAGAUAAGGACUGUGGAGUUCCAAGAGUAACUGCAAUAGUUCCACAUCUAAAAGCAAGAUGUCCUGCAGUGGAGGUUGAAGGCAUCCAAAUGGAGAUACCGGUGCCUGGGCAUCCUGAUUCUCCCAGCAAAAUGGCAAGUGUGCUUGAUGACUGCAAGCAACUGCAGACAUUAGUGGCUGCCAAUGACGCAGUUUUCUUGUUAACUGACACAUGGGAGAGCAGGUGGCUUCCAACUCUUCUCUGUGCAAGCGAAAAUAAGAUUGCUAUUACUGCAGUAUUAGGAUGUGACAGUUACCUUGUCAUGCGACAUGGUGCUGGUCCAGGAAUAAGUGGGGUUACAGAUGAAUUGACUGCUCAGAUAGAAAAAAUGUCUACAGAAGACGCUCUUGGCAAUCAGAGAUUGGGCUGUUGUUUCUGCAAUGAUGCUGUUUCCCUUUUUAAUCCAAUUCCUAAUGGAACACUACCUGGACUUACCUCAGUUGCAUCUGGCAAAGCAGUGGAGCUCUUUGCUAGGAUGUUACAUCAUCCUGAUGAGAUACAUGCUCCAGGUGAUAUUGCUGGUAUGGAAACAGAACAUCAGCUUGGUCUGUUACCACAUCAGCUACGAGGAUCACUCCCAAAGUGUGUUUUAUCUUUGGAACUAGGCAAUUCCUCCGGCAACUGUACUGCAUGUUCAAUUGCAGUAUUGUCAGAGUACAGAAGAAGAGGAUUGGAUUUUGUCAUGCAAGCUAUUAACUAUCCGACAUAUCUGAAAGAUCUUACAGGCAUUUCUGAUUCGAAGAGGGCAGAUACUUGUCCUAAGAUGCUGGGCAGCAUCUCUGUAAAUUCAGACAAGAUUUCUGAUGUCCGAUGUCUAAUUUUGGGUGCUGGAACUCUUGGAUGUGAUGUUGCUCGCAUUCUUAUGGACUGUGGUGUGCGGAAGCUAACAGUGGUUGAUAGUGGUCGUGUAGUUGUGUCAAAUUUGGCAAGACAAUCACUCUACACUUCUGAUGACUGCGGUGCCCCAAAAGCAACUGCAAUAGUUAAGCAUCUAGUGGAGAGGUGUCCUUCGGUGGAUGCACAAGGCAUUCAGAUGGAAAUACCUAUGCCAGGGCAUCCUUUGUCUCCUGGUGAAGCAGCUGGCGUGCUUCAAGAUUGCAAGAGCCUUGAGGAAUUAGUAGCUUCCCACGAUGCUAUCUUCUUGUUGACUGACACAAGGGAAAGUAGGUGGCUUCCAACUCUCCUCUGCACUAAUGAAAACAAGAUUGCUAUUACUGCGGCAUUAGGGUAUGAUAGUUACCUUGUCAUGCGACAUGGGGCUGGUCCUGGCACGAGCUGUGAAGCUUCAAAUGUGACUGCUGCCACGGAUAAGAUGUCCACAAUGGAUCCCCUUGGACGUCAAAGACUGGGGUGUUAUUUCUGCAAUGACGUUGUUGCUCCUGUUGAUUCUGUCUCCAAUCGAACACUGGAUCAACAAUGUACAGUGACACGACCUGGGCUGGCCUCUAUUGCAUCUGGAUGUGCUGCAGACCUCUUCACAAGAAUGUUACAUCAUCCUGAUGGGUACAUGAAAGCUGGAAUGAUACUAUGAGUUCGUGAUACAUGCUCCAGGAGAUAUUGCUGGUGCAAGCAGUGGCCAUCCACUUGGUCUAUUACCUCACCAGAUGCGUGGAUCACUCUCACAGUACAACUUAUUAACCCUCUUGGGCUAUUCCUCGAGCAAUUGCACAGCAUGUUCCAAUGUGGUAUUGUCUGAAUAUCGGAGGAGAGGAAUGGAUUUUGUGAUGCAAGUGAUCAACGAACCAACGUAUUUGGAAGACCUCACCGGCCUUACGGACUUGAUGAAAUCCGCAGCUUGCUCCCAGGUCGAGUGGGUAGAAACUGAUGAAGACGAUUUUGUUGAGAUCUGAUACAUGGUUUUAACGACUGUAAAUAUUAUAUCUCCUGCAAUAUGAUUUUCAUGAGCUGACGAAAUAACACUGUGGGAUGCCUUCACACUCAACAAUGCGAAGCAAUCAAGCAGCCACCCUUAAACACUUGUAACAUCACGCUUGUACAAUGAUGACUGCAAGUCUAGCCAAAUGUCAAAUGCUAAUAAUUCUGGAAACUCGUGAUUUACUCGCAA